Molecule: ribosomal RNA, 403 nt
Filed under: uncultured bacterium
Lineage: Bacteria
Description: bacterial SSU rRNA
Rfam family: Bacterial small subunit ribosomal RNA
Source: RNAcentral
CCUAACACAUGCAAGUCGAACGGUAACAGGAAACAGCUUGCUGUUUCGCUGACGAGUGGCGGACGGGUGAGUAAUGUCUGGGAAACUGCCUGAUGGAGGGGGAUAACUACUGGAAACGGUAGCUAAUACCGCAUAACGUCGCAAGACCAAAGAGGGGGACCUUCGGGCCUCUUGCCAUCAGAUGUGCCCAGAUGGGAUUAGCUAGUAGGUGGGGUAACGGCUCACCUAGGCGACGAUCCCUAGCUGGUCUGAGAGGAUGACCAGCCACACUGGAACUGAGACACGGUCCAGACUCCUACGGGAGGCAGCAGUGGGGAAUAUUGCACAAUGGGCGCAAGCCUGAUGCAGCCAUGCCGCGUGUAUGAAGAAGGCCUUCGGGUUGUAAAGUACUUUCAGCGGGGAG